AAAAUUAUGGAAAAAAGAUGCACCUCUAUAAACAUCUUUCAAGGCUUCCUAUUGUUGGCUAACAUCCACAUCCUAUCCGGGAAGACAUGGAAAUCUACGCAAUUCAUUCCUCAGGGUUCAUGUUCCGAGUGUUUUUGCACUGAGAUAUCAGCUGAUUCCAAAAAGAUUGCAGGUGUUCCUUCGGUAGGUACCAGCAUAGCAUAGUUAGGGUGGAUAAUUUUAUAUUUCACAUUAAUUUUAUAUAAAUAUACAAAUGGUGGAUAAUGGUGAUCUGCAAAAAUGCUAGCCUCAUUAGGAGACCUUCAGUCCAAUCUUGUUAUUGAUGCCUUCAGCAUUAUCAACGUGUGGAAUGUGGAAGAACGUGAGCCUAUUAGAUUGAUCUGCAGCCAGCUAUAUACAGUUAUACAGCAAUAGUCAACCUGCUGCUAGAUGAUUCAGUUGAACAUUUAAAUAUUACCUGAUCUUAGCUAAUUGCAAGGUAAUAGUCUUCCUAAUUUUCGGUUUACUUUCUCGUUAACUGCAUAUCUUAAUACUUAUGGAGUAUCCAUAUAUUGUACAAAGAAUUUUUAAUCUGAAGUGAUAGAAUUCGUGUAAUCUCACUUGUAGACAAUUUUUUACAAGACUUGGACUGAUUCGUGCAUGAUCAGCAUGAUAUGUCUUAUAGAUGAGUCAUGUAUCAAUAAAAAAUGUUGAAUCUGACUAUGUGAUUAACCUGACAGGGUCACACCUUUCUGGGAAAAGAAGUUUGCUUGAUCAUGACCAAGAACCGUACAUAUCUUUUCAAGAGGCAGAUAGAC
This 797-nucleotide long non-coding RNA is filed under the name Panax ginseng (ginseng). RNAcentral's name for it is "long non-coding RNA (PGIN_LNC009198)". Lineage: Eukaryota; Viridiplantae; Streptophyta; Magnoliopsida; Apiales; Araliaceae. The record is from RNAcentral.